AUUGAACGCUGGCGGCAGGCCUAACACAUGCAAGUCGAGCGGGGUUUUCGGACCUAGCGGCGGACGGGUGAGUAAUGCGUAGGAAGCUACCCGAUAGAGGGGGAUACCAGUUGGAAACGACUGUUAAUACCGCAUAAUGUCUACGGACCAAAGUGUGGGACCUUCGGGCCACAUGCUAUCGGAUGCGCCUACGUGGGAUUAGCUAGUUGGUGAGGUAAUGGCUCACCAAGGCGACGAUCUCUAGCUGGUUUGAGAGGAUGAUCAGCCGCACUGGAACUGAGACACGGUCCAGACUCCUACGGGAGGCAGCAGUGGGGAAUAUUGGACAAUGGGCGCAAGCCUGAUCCAGCCAUGCCGCGUGUGUGAAGAAGGCCUUCGGGUUGUAAAGCACUUUCAGCGAGGAGGAAGAGUUGUGUGUUAAUAGUACACAGCUUUGACGUUACUCGCAAAAGAAGCACCGGCUAACUCUGUGCCAGCAGCCGCGGUAAUACAGAGGGUGCAAGCGUUAAUCGGAAUUACUGGGCGUAAAGCGCACGUAGGCGGUUUUUUAAGUCAGAUGUGAAAGCCCCGGGCUCAACCUGGGAAUUGCAUUUGAAACUGGAAAACUAGAGUGUGUGAGAGGGGGGUAGAAUUCCAAGUGUAGCGGUGAAAUGCGUAGAGGUUUGGAGGAAUACCAGUGGCGAAGGCGGCCCCCUGGCACAACACUGACGCUCAGGUGCGAAAGCGUGGGGAGCAAACAGGAUUAGAUACCCUGGUAGUCCACGCCGUAAACGAUGUCUACUAGCUGU
RNAcentral lists this ribosomal RNA (788 nucleotides) under uncultured bacterium. Its description in RNAcentral is "bacterial SSU rRNA". It matches the Rfam family "Bacterial small subunit ribosomal RNA", at positions 28 to 823 of the family's 1533-position model. The record is from RNAcentral.